RNAcentral lists this ribosomal RNA (617 nucleotides) under uncultured bacterium. RNAcentral's name for it is "bacterial SSU rRNA". It matches the Rfam family "Bacterial small subunit ribosomal RNA", at positions 338 to 944 of the family's 1533-position model. The record is from RNAcentral.
CCUACGGGAGGCAGCAGUGGGGAAUUUUGGACAAUGGGCGAAAGCCUGAUCCAGCAAUGCCGCGUGUGGGAAGAAGGCCUUCGGGUUGUAAACCACUUUUGUACGGAACGAAACGGUUCGCUUUAAUACAGUGGGCUAAUGACGGUACCGUAAGAAUAAGCACCGGCUAACUACGUGCCAGCAGCCGCGGUAAUACGUAGGGUGCGAGCGUUAAUCGGAAUUACUGGGCGUAAAGCGUGCGCAGGCGGUCAUAUAAGACAGUUGUGAAAUCCCCGGGCUCAACCUGGGAAUUGCAUCUGUGACUGUAUAGCUAGAGUACGGUAGAGGGGGAUGGAAUUCCGCGUGUAGCAGUGAAAUGCGUAGAUAUGCGGAGGAACACCGAUGGCGAAGGCAAUCCCCUGGACCUGUACUGACGCUCAUGCACGAAAGCGUGGGGAGCAAACAGGAUUAGAUACCCUGGUAGUCCACGCCCUAAACGAUGUCAACUGGUUGUUGGGUGCAUUAGUACUCAGUAACGAAGCUAACGCGUGAAGUUGACCGCCUGGGGAGUACGGCCGCAAGGUUGAAACUCAAAGAGUAGUAGCGUGNGAGAGCGACGACGACGACGACGGAGGAGG